AACGUAGGUACCGAGCGUUAUCCGGAUUUACUGGGCGUAAAGCGCGUUCAGGCGGUUUGGCAAGUCGGGCAUGAAAUCUCUCGGCUCAACCGGGAGAGGUUGUCCGAUACUGUUGGACUUGAGGGCAGUAGAGGGUGGUGGAAUUCCGGGUGUAGUGGUGAAAUGCGUAGAUAUCCGGAGGAACACCAGUGGCGAAAGCGGCCACCUGGACUGUACCUGACGCUCAAACGCGAAAGCUAGGGGAGCGAACGGG
This 253-nucleotide ribosomal RNA is filed under the name uncultured bacterium. RNAcentral's name for it is "partial 16S ribosomal RNA". It matches the Rfam family "Bacterial small subunit ribosomal RNA", at positions 524 to 776 of the family's 1533-position model. The record is from RNAcentral.